UCCCUGGUGAUUCAGCAGUUAGAACGCUGUGCUUCCACUGUUGAGGGCCUGGGUUCAAUCCCUGGUCAGGGAA
RNAcentral lists this transfer RNA (73 nucleotides) under Bos taurus (domestic cattle). It matches the Rfam family "tRNA". Rfam says of the family: Transfer RNA (tRNA) molecules are approximately 80 nucleotides in length. Their secondary structure includes four short double-helical elements and three loops (D, anti-codon, and T loops). Further hydrogen bonds mediate the characteristic L-shaped molecular structure. tRNAs have two regions of fundamental functional importance: the anti-codon, which is responsible for specific mRNA codon recognition, and the 3' end, to which the tRNAs corresponding amino acid is attached (by aminoacyl-tRNA synthetases). tRNAs cope with the degeneracy of the genetic code in two manners: having more than one tRNA (with a specific anti-codon) for a particular amino acid; and 'wobble' base-pairing, i.e. permitting non-standard base-pairing at the 3rd anti-codon position. Lineage: Eukaryota; Metazoa; Chordata; Mammalia; Artiodactyla; Bovidae. The record is from Rfam by way of RNAcentral. RNAcentral also lists the same sequence under 4 other names.